GACGAACGCUGGCGGCGUGCUUAACACAUGCAAGUCGAACGAAGAGCGAUGGGAGCUUGCUUCUAUCAAUCUUAGUGGCGAACGGGUGAGUCACGCGUAAUCAACCUGCCCUUCAGAGGGGGACAACAGUUGGAAACGACUGCUAAUACCGCAUACGAUCUAAUCUCGGCAUCGAGGAUAGAUGAAAGGUGGCCUCUACAUGUAAGCUAUCACUGCAGGAGGGGAUUGCGUCUGAUUAGCUAGUUGGAGGGGUAACGUCCCACCAAGGCGAUGAUCAGUAGCCGGUCUGAGAGGAUGAACGGCCACAUUGGGACUGAGACACGGCCCAGAAUCCUACGGGAGGCAGCAGUGUGGAAUCUUCCGCCAUAGACGAAAGUCUGACGGAGCAACGCCGCGUGAGUGAUGACGGCCUUCGGGUUGUAAAGCUCUGUUAAUCGGGACGAAAGGCCUUCUUGCGAACAGUUAGAAGGAUUGACGGUACCGGAAGAGAAAGCCACGGCUAACUACGUG
This 510-nucleotide ribosomal RNA is filed under the name uncultured bacterium. RNAcentral's name for it is "partial 16S ribosomal RNA". It matches the Rfam family "Bacterial small subunit ribosomal RNA", at positions 28 to 507 of the family's 1533-position model. The record is from RNAcentral.